This 644-nucleotide ribosomal RNA is filed under the name Escherichia coli. RNAcentral describes it as "partial 23S ribosomal RNA". It matches the Rfam family "Bacterial large subunit ribosomal RNA", at positions 2278 to 2916 of the family's 2925-position model. The record is from RNAcentral. Lineage: Bacteria; Pseudomonadati; Pseudomonadota; Gammaproteobacteria; Enterobacterales; Enterobacteriaceae.
GGCGGUCUCCUCCUAAAGAGUAACGGAGGAGCACGAAGGUUGGCUAAUCCUGGUCGGACAUCAGGAGGUUAGUGCAAUGGCAUAAGCCAGCUUGACUGCGAGCGUGACGGCGCGAGCAGGUGCGAAAGCAGGUCAUAGUGAUCCGGUGGUUCUGAAUGGAAGGGCCAUCGCUCAACGGAUAAAAGGUACUCCGGGGAUAACAGGCUGAUACCGCCCAAGAGUUCAUAUCGACGGCGGUGUUUGGCACCUCGAUGUCGGCUCAUCACAUCCUGGGGCUGAAGUAGGUCCCAAGGGUAUGGCUGUUCGCCAUUUAAAGUGGUACGCGAGCUGGGUUUAGAACGUCGUGAGACAGUUCGGUCCCUAUCUGCCGUGGGCGCUGGAGAACUGAGGGGGGCUGCUCCUAGUACGAGAGGACCGGAGUGGACGCAUCACUGGUGUUCGGGUUGUCAUGCCAAUGGCACUGCCCGGUAGCUAAAUGCGGAAGAGAUAAGUGCUGAAAGCAUCUAAGCACGAAACUUGCCCCGAGAUGAGUUCUCCCUGACUCCUUGAGAGUCCUGAAGGAACGUUGAAGACGACGACGUUGAUAGGCCGGGUGUGUAAGCGCAGCGAUGCGUUGAGCUAACCGGUACUAAUGAACCGUGAGG